RNAcentral lists this ribosomal RNA (447 nucleotides) under uncultured bacterium. Its description in RNAcentral is "partial 16S ribosomal RNA". It matches the Rfam family "Bacterial small subunit ribosomal RNA", at positions 29 to 523 of the family's 1533-position model. The record is from RNAcentral.
AACGAACGCUGGCGGCAGGCCUAACACAUGCAAGUCGAACGCCCCGCAAGGGGAGUGGCAGACGGGUGAGUAACACGUGGGAACGUACCCUUUGGUUCGGAAUAACUUGGGGAAACUCAAGCUAAUACCGGAUAAGCCCUUAUGGGGAAAGGUUUACUGCCGAAGGAUCAGCCCGCGUCUGAUUAGCUAGUUGGUGAGGUAAUGGCUCACCAAGGCGACGAUCAGUAGCUGGUCUGAGAGGAUGAUCAGCCACACUGGGACUGAGACACGGCCCAGACUCCUACGGGAGGCAGCAGUGGGGAAUAUUGGACAAUGGGGGCAACCCUGAUCCAGCCAUGCCGCGUGAGUGAUGAAGGCCUUAGGGUUGUAAAGCUCUUUUACCCGGGACGAUAAUGACUGUACCGGGAGAAUAAGCCCCGGCUAACUUCGUGCCAGCAGCCGCUGUAA